Oncorhynchus tshawytscha (Chinook salmon) is the source of this 1153-nucleotide long non-coding RNA. The record is from Ensembl. Lineage: Eukaryota; Metazoa; Chordata; Actinopteri; Salmoniformes; Salmonidae.
UGGUGGUGACAGCUGCUGCAGGGGUGGUGGUGGUGACAGCUGCUGCAGGGGCGGUAGUGGUGAGAGGUGCUGCAUGAGUGGUGGUGGUGAGAGGUGCUGCAGGGGCGGUGGUGGUGACAGCUGCUGCAGGGGCGGUAGUGGUGAGAGGUGCUGCAGGGGCGGUGUUGGUGACAGCUGCUGCAGGGGCGGUAGUGGUGAGAGGUGCUGCAACGGCGGUGGUAGUGAGAGGUGCUGCAGGGGCGGUGUUGGUGACAGCUGCUGCAGGGGCGGUAGUGGUGAGAGGUGCUGCAACGGCGGUGGUAGUGAGAGGUGCUGCAGGGGCGGUGGUGGUGACAGCUGCUGCAGGGGCGGUAGUGGUGAGAGGUGCUGCAGGGGCGGUGGUGGUGAGAGGUGCUGCAUGAGUGGUGGUGGUGACAGCUGCUGCAGGGGCGGUAGUUGUGAGAGGUGCUGCAGGGGCGGUGUUGGUGAGAGGUGCUGCAGAAGUGGUGGUGGUGACAGCUGCUGCAGGGGGGGUGGUGGUGAAAGCUGCUGCAGGGACGGUAGUGGUGAGAGGUGCUGCAGGGGCAGUGGUGGUGAGAGGUGCUGCAUGAGUGGUGGUGGUGACAGCUGCUGCAGGGGCGGUAGUGGUGAGAGGUGCUGCAGGGGCGGUAGUAGUGAGAGGUGCUGCAGGGGCGGUGGUGGUGACAGCUGCUGCAGGGGCGGUGGUGGUGAGAGGUGCUGCAGGGGCGGUGGUGGUGAGAGGUGCUGCAGGGGCAGUGGUGGUGAGAGGUGCUGCAUGAGUGGUGGUGGUGACAGCUGCUGCAGGGGCGGUAGUGGUGAGAGGUGCUGCAUGAGUGGUGGUGGUGACAGCAGCUGCAGGGGCGGUAGUGGUGAGAGGUGCUGCAUGAGUGGUGGUUGUGACAGAUGCUGCAGGGGCGGUAGUGGUGAGAGGUGCUGCAUGAGUUGUGGUGGUGACAGCUGCUGCAGGGGCGGUGGUGGUACCAGCUGCUGCAGGGGCGGUGGUGGUACCAGCUGCUGCAGGGGCGGUGGUGGUGACAGCUGCUGCAGGGGCGGUGGUGGUGAGAGGUGCUGCAGGGGCGGUGGUGGUACCAGCUGCUGCAGGGGCGGUGGUGGUGACAGCUGCUGCAGGGGCGGUGGUAGUGAGAGGUGCUGC